RNAcentral lists this unclassified non-coding RNA (230 nucleotides) under Hevea brasiliensis (rubber tree). The record is from RNAcentral. Lineage: Eukaryota; Viridiplantae; Streptophyta; Magnoliopsida; Malpighiales; Euphorbiaceae.
AGAGAGUUUUCAUCACACAAAGUAUUUUUUGCUAUCUAACCAAAAAUUGCUGUUUUGCUUUUAAGAAAGGGGGAAAAAACACUAAGUUAACCAAACAGUGUCUUAAUUUAUUCAAGAAAGCUUCCUGGAGUUACUUUCUAAGCAAGCAAUAAUUAUAAAUUCAAUAAGAGCACAUCAAACUAUUAAAACAGCCUUUAAAUGACCCAAAAAAUAAAAAGGCAUAACCUUUU